CAGUUUUGGUGACUCGUCUCGCACAAGACAGUUACCUGGUUAAGCAGUUCCCCAACUGACCUAACCUUCGAUCAAACCACCUCCCCAGGUGGUUUUUUCGU
This 101-nucleotide non-coding RNA is filed under the name Escherichia coli. The record is from RNAcentral. RNAcentral also lists the same sequence under 4 other names. Lineage: Bacteria; Pseudomonadati; Pseudomonadota; Gammaproteobacteria; Enterobacterales; Enterobacteriaceae.